Bactrocera oleae (olive fruit fly) is the source of this 5259-nucleotide non-coding RNA. NCBI's taxonomy places the organism in Eukaryota, Metazoa, Arthropoda, Insecta, Diptera, Tephritidae. The record is from RefSeq and is a predicted model, not a curated record.
UUUUUAAAUUUAAUCUCACAAUAAAUAUUUUUUACGUUUAAAAUCUAUUUUUAUAAGCUUUAGGGUUGAUACUUUACAGAGCCUACAAAACAUAUGAAUAUGGUUACAAAAUUAUUUAAAUACUCUUAAUACAUAUUAAUAUUAUUUACCUAUAUUAAAAAAAAUCAAAUAUUAAAGGAAAAAAGUUUUCACUAAUGAUUAGUAAAAAUUUAAAAAACCUUCGAAGCUUGUAAUAAAUUAUAAAAUUAAUAAAUCAGUAUCUCUAAUCAACAAAACAUAUUUUUUACAAAUCACAAGUGGUUAUUUUAUGAGUGUGCCGGUUCAACCCAGUCUGAAUGAAUUUCUUUACGCUGUUAAUCAUCAUUCCAUUAUAGAAAUUUGCACACCCACUUCAAAUUACACUUUUGCUUGUCUGGCUAAUGUUAUAUGCGGAUGAAGUUUAUACUUAAUACAUAUACAAACGGAAAAAUAAAACACGUGUGUCUACAACCCAAAAGUUCAGCUACACUGUAACGCCUCAACGCCAACGCCACCACCAACGACUGAGGCGACGACGCUCACCAUGACGUCGGCAGCGCCAUAAACAGGAAAUUUUGUGCAGAGAGCUGAAGCUCCCAGUUGAAAACGCACAACAGCCACCAAGUGGCGGCUCUAGAGCAGCCGAAUAGUGCAACAAACAAUUAAUUCACCAUUCAUCGAUUUGCGACCGGCACCAAUUCAACGAUUGCAACCAAAAAUAAAAUAUAAAAAAGCCAUGAUGCACUUGUGCUCAGUUUGUUUCGCUCGCUGAGUUUUAUGGUAAAAGAGCGCACGAAAAUAGUGCGAUUAAACACGUAAAAUCGAAAUAAAAACCAUUUCUCCAUCAGUGGUUGCUGCCGGUAGUGUCAUCGGUAUUCGCUGUUAUUGCUGCUACACGAGUGCCAAACUGAAAUUACGAGUUCGAAUACUCAUUUUGCUUAGUCAACGAUUUUUUUCAAUUUAGUGGUGUAUAUUAGGACGAGCCGCUUGAUGCAGCGCUCAGUCAAUUUCGCAAAGUCCAACGGGUAACAACGAAGUGCAAACCAACAACUGCUCACUUGCCAAACUGUGACCACCGCUGUCUUCGCUUUCGCUUAAAUGAACAGGCAACGCGUCGCUAAAACGUAGGAAAAAGAAAAUUAAACAAACACUGCCAGUGUUAGCAAGUAGCGGGUGUACAAUAAAAAAAAAUAUAUAUAAAUUUUCACUAAAUUCUACAAAUACAAAUACGACAGCCAGUCAUUACAAAUACAAGGACAUUAUACAAUAUUUGAAGUGCGCAGUGUUAUUUGCAAAAAUUAUUUAAUAGCAAAAAUUCUGAAAAAAAUAGUAAAAAUUAAAAACACCAGCAUUUUUGCACAUUAAACGUGCCCUUAUUAAGAUAGUCACUGCCAAAGCAAAUAUUAUAAAUUUAAGCAAAAUUUAUUUUACGUGCAAACCCAAAGUCAAAUAUAAACACGUGAAACCAGAAGCCAACAAGCAGGCAUUACAAAAAUAUAACGGCGUACUUGUGUUUUAAAUUUUUUUAGGAUUAUAAAAGUAAACAGUGCUUUUUAUUGAAGCUGCUAAUUAAUAUAGCCAGUGGAGCAUAUCAUCCUCGCGCAUGCAGCCAUUGCAAAUAAUUAUAAAUUACAUGUAAAUUUGAAUACAGUUGAGUGAAACAAUUAAAUAGAAGAGUUUUAAGGUCAUUAUUUACCCCAGUCCAGUUAUACAAAAGUGAUAAGCAAAGCAGAGUUCUCACAAAAAUCCGUGCCAUAUGGAGAUGCGUUCAAAAUUGGGCAGCUUCGAGCUGAAAGACUGCAGUGCCGAAAGCGCCGCUGAACGUUAUCAGCUGCUGGUAUUUAUUAAAUUAAAGCGUAAGCGGCGAGUUUUGUUAUUGCAAUGUAACUGAAAUGGAGCAAACAUUACGCAAUUACAUCCACUAUCUUCUCACAUUAGAAGUCCUACAUAUAUAUUUAUAUAAGUACAGGAAAAUUAUUUGCGUCCGGCGACUUAUUAACUGAUCUUACUGACGCAAAUGCGGCUUGGCAUUGGUUGUGUGAGUUAGCCUUUAGGUUGAAAUAAAUAUACAGUAUGUGUGCAUAAAAUUAUGUAUGUCACGCAAAGAUUUGAAUAUAAUUCUGUAUAAAAAUAAAAUUGAUUUGAAAUAAUAAUUUGAAAUUAGAUGAGAGUAAAUAUUUAAUAUGUAUGUAUGUAUGUAUGUACUUGUCUUCGCUCUUAAAAAAAUAAAUUAAAUUUUCUUGAAAAUUUAUUGGCUGAUUUUCAGUGCAUAGUCUUAAGGCAGUUCGUAAUAUUUAAUUAAUUAAAUUUCAAUAUCCGUUUUAUAUGAUACAGAUUGCGAUAUCUUUUUAAUUAAUAUUUGUGUCUAAACUUGAAAUUAUUCAUUAGGUAAGUUUAGCAUAUAUUCUCUUGAAUUAUUGAAUUUCGAUCAUAGCGCACAAUUUCUAGGAACCUUUUAUUUCAGAAAAUUAAAUAAAAUAAAAUAAAAUUAAAAAUGUUUUUUUUGUUUUAUUUUUUAUAAAGAGUAUAUCAAAAAUUAGUUACUUAACUUUAAAAAUAUAUAUAUUUAAGUAUGUUCUCAAAAAUGCAUAUGUUUUAAAAAAAUUUGAAACAUAAAAGUAAAAAAUAUCUCAGAAUUUCUAAAAGUAUAAAUAUUUGUAAAUUUCAUUAACAAAGAAAUACCAUCUGAUCAAAUUUGACGCGAAAGUAGUGCAUUCAAAAGGGGCGCAUAAAUUAAAUCGAUAAACUUUUUUUUCUUGAUUGGUAGCUAUUUGUUUACGACGCGAAAAGUUUGUCUGGCGAUUUUGACCAUGAAACCAUAUUUAGAUGAACAGAUACUGUAAGUUUCACGCUGACAUUAUGCAGCUUUAACAGCUUGUACAUACAUACCUUAGUGAAGAUCUAACCAAAAGGUAUAGAAAAUACACAUCAUCCUUUGGAUAUAAAUAUAUGCAAUUAUUUGUCGUGUGUACAUAAGUGCAUGUAGAAUAAUUCAAUUUUGUGUCUACAUCUGUCAUAAAAAUGUCACAUUUCUUAGUUCUUAAAUUUGCGGCACAAGAUAGCUUCUGUAUAUAUGCACCUGUUUACGUAUGUAUAUACCUUCACAUAUACUUCGUAUUGAGUGGGCGAAAAGGUUUAAAUAGAUGGCUAUUUUCUUAACUGACAUUAGUAGCAUAGAGGCGCGAAGGUUAGACAGUACAAAAAAUUCGAAAGACUUUUAUAUUUAGCGUUUAAUUAGUACUCAAAACAAGCAUUGUUAUUUUUUAUAUAUAAAUUAGUUUAUGCACAAAUUGAAAAUUUCGAGAAAAGAAAUUAUUCAUUAGAAUAGCAAACAUAUAAAGUCAACUCAAAUACAAAACUAUAUAAACAAAAUGGUACUUUCAAUUAUACAUACAGAACCCGUUAAGGUAAAUCGUAAACAUGGGGCCAUUUCAUUUUCAGAAGCUUUAUCACUUACCGGUUUCGGUAAAUUCAAUUACUUCCUCAUCUUCAUUUCUGGCAUGGUUUUGGCCAAUGUUUUGUUGGAGACGGCAGCUAUGGGUUUUAUUUUGCCAAUUGCACAAUGUGACUUAAAUCUUACGAAUCAGGAUAAAGGCGUCUUGAGCGCCAUUAGUUUUGCUGGUAUCAUAACAAGCUCACAUCUGUGGGGCUUUUUGGCCGACACAAAGGGGCGUAGACGGGUUAUUAGGCCGACAUUGUUGGCAGGCUUUAUUGUCACAUUAUUCUCAAGUUUUUCGCACACAUUUUGGGUGAUGGUGUUGUUGCGUUUCAUCAAUGGAUUUUUUGUCUCUGGUGGUUCGGCUACAAUUUAUGCCUACCUCGGCGAGUUCCACACAGAUAAGACACGUUCGCGCGCCAUGAUGGGUUCUUCAUUUAUCUUCGCGAUCGGCGCGAUGAUCUUGCCAAUGAUUGCCUUCCUUGUCAUCAAUCAAGACUGGGUCUUGCCCUUGCCUUUCUUGGGCAUUGAUUAUAAGCCUUGGCGGCUAUUUUUAAUCGUAUGCGGCAUACCCGGCAUGCUUUGCGGUCUCUCCAUGUUCGCUUUGCCUGAAAGUCCGAAAUUCCUCUUGGCGCACGGUAGAGAGGCGAAAGCCAUUGAGGUCUUGCAAAAAAUGCAACGUUGGAACGGUGGCACUCAAGAUCUAAAAUUAAAACACAUCCUACCGGAGGAGGAGACACCCGGCUCAAUGAUGCAGCUGAACAAUCAAUCGGCUUCGAAGGAGAACUUUGCCACCGCUUUUCUGAAGAGCAUGUGGAACCAGACUGUGCCAUUAUUCCACAAACAAUACAUACGCGUCACAUUGAUUGUUUGCAAUAUGCAAUUUUGGUUGUAUGUGGUAACGAACGGCAUGUACAUGUGGUUCCCGCACAUCAUUAACUCUAUGGUCGAGUUCAUGAAUGCUCACCCAGGCGAACACAAAGAGAUCUGUCAAAUUGUGUACGACAAACAUGAGAGCUUAUAUAAGUCUGAUGGUACAAUGGAAUGCGUUGCCAAAUUAGAGAACACUACAUAUUUUUACUCAUUAAUCAUGGAGAUCUUGUACGCUUCCUCGUUUGCCUUUAUUGGCUUGGUAAUCAACCGAGUCGGCAAGAUAAGCAUACUUUUUAUUUCAACAAUUUUCUUCACCUCAUGUGGCCUUGCUGCAGUCUUUGUGGUCGAUCCAUCGAUUGCAGCGUAUCUGUAUGUGCUCUUCUUUUUGGUGGGCGUGGCAAUUAAUGUUUUGGGCGCUGCCACAGUUGAGCUUUAUCCCACACAAAUGCGUGCCAUGGCAAUAUGCGUCUCGCUGAUGUUCGGCCGCUUGGGCAGUGUUGUGGGCGCUAAUAUUGUGGGUGCGAUACUGGCUAAAAACUGCGAACUGACUUUCUACACCGCUUGUAUUGCCUUGUAUGUCUGCGCCUUCUUGGCUCUACUGAUACCGCGAAGAACCAUGGCGCCCCCAGCUAAGCUCGUUUUGGAUGAGGCAUAAAUGUGUGAAGACGCGUAAAUUCUUAUUCUAAAUUGCGACUUAAAUGCGGAUAGCAUACUUAACUUCGCAACUACUAGUAGGGAUGGAUGUAAUACUGUUAUUAAAAAUUGUGAUUCUAUGUGUGCGUGAGUGUUUGUGUGAGUGAAUAUUUAAUUAGUAUUUUGUAUGAAAGUGUUUUUAUUUUGCGGUGCUUAUUGAGAUCGUGUGAGAUACGUGUUUUUAGAUAAAAUAUAUUGAAUGAAACUACAAAUAAAGCAAAAAAUCAAAUAAAAUAAAA